This 468-nucleotide ribosomal RNA is filed under the name uncultured bacterium. RNAcentral describes it as "partial 16S ribosomal RNA". It matches the Rfam family "Bacterial small subunit ribosomal RNA", at positions 28 to 507 of the family's 1533-position model. The record is from RNAcentral.
GACGAACGCUGGCGGCGUGCUUAACACAUGCAAGUCGAACGGAAAGGCCCUGCUUUUGUGGGGUGCUCGAGUGGCGAACGGGUGAGUAACACGUGAGUAACCUGCCCUUGACUUUGGGAUAACUUCAGGAAGCUGGGGCUAAUACCGGAUAGGAGCUCCUGCUGCAUGGUGGGGGUUGGAAAGUUUCGGCGGUUGGGGAUGGACUCGCGGCUUAUCAGCUUGUUGGUGGGGUAGUGGCUUACCAAGGCUUUGACGGGUAGCCGGCCUGAGAGGGUGACCGGCCACAUUGGGACUGAGAUACGGCCCAGACUCCUACGGGAGGCAGCAGUGGGGAAUAUUGCACAAUGGGUGGAAGCCUGAUGCAGCAACGCCGCGUGCGGGAUGACGGCCUUCGGGUUGUAAACCGCUUUCGCCUGUGACGAAGCGUGAGUGACGGUAAUGGGUAAAGAAGCACCGGCUAACUACGUG